Molecule: long non-coding RNA, 527 nt
Filed under: Hordeum vulgare
Lineage: Eukaryota; Viridiplantae; Streptophyta; Magnoliopsida; Poales; Poaceae
Description: long non-coding RNA (HVUL_LNC005635)
Source: RNAcentral
CACGGUACCCCUCAAGUUCCCUGUCAAUUGACUCGGAAUCCAUAGAGGUGGAAGCCAAUGAUGAUGACUGCUUCUGGUCAGCCUCUUCUUCAGUCUCAGACUCAUCCACUACCUCCAAUGCCACGCUGCCAGAAACAUUUCCUGAGAAGUCCACCACAGAUGAUUCAUCUCCGAUAAUUGUCUGCUCUGUUGCUUCAUUAACUGACUCAACAUCCAUGGAUGUGGAAGACAAUGCAGGAGGCUGAUUUUGGUCAGCCUCUUCUUCAGUCUCGGCCACACCUUCCAGCCCCGCGCUGCUAGAAACAUUUCCUGCAAAUUCCACCCCAGAUUCUUCUUCCGCGGUACUUGCCUGCUCUGUUGCGUCACCACUGAGCGUCCCGUUGCUUCUGCCAAGAUCACCGUCUUCAUCAGCGCUGCCAUGUUCAAUCUUCUUGGUGGAGGUCCAAGAAUCGGCAGAAGGUCUUGGAGCAUAUCCUCUAGAGGCAGUGCCCUUGGGCUUAGGAGCUGACGAUCUCCUCGGAUUCCUC